AGCAGCCGCGGUAAUUCCAGCUCCAAUAGCGUAUAUUAAAGUCGUUGCAGUUAAAAAGCUCGUAGUUGAAUUUCGGGGUCAGUAGGUUGGUCGUGCCACUGGUAUGCACUGGUCUCACUGAUUCCUCCUUCCUGAUGAGCCGUAAUGCCAUUAAUUUGGUGUUGCGGGGAAUCUGGACUGUUACUUUGAAAAAAUUAGAGUGUUUAAAGCAGGCUAACGCUUGAAUACAUUAGCAUGGAAUAAUGAAAUAGGACGAUCGAUCCUAUUUUGUUGAUUUCUAGGAUUGACGUAAUGAUUAAUAGGGAUAGUUGGGGGCAUUAGUAUUCAAUUGUCAGAGGUGAAAUUCUUGGAUUUAUUGAAGACUAACUACUGCGAAAGCAUUUGCCAAGGAUGUUUUCAUUAAUCAAGAACGAAAGUUAGGGGAUCGAAGACGAUCAGAUACCGUCGUAGUCUUAACCAUAAACUAUGCCGACUAGGGAUCGGAUGAUGUUAAUUUUUUAAUGACUC
RNAcentral lists this ribosomal RNA (507 nucleotides) under uncultured Glomus. Its description in RNAcentral is "SSU rRNA". It matches the Rfam family "Eukaryotic small subunit ribosomal RNA", at positions 569 to 1077 of the family's 1831-position model. Lineage: Eukaryota; Fungi; Glomeromycota; Glomeromycetes; Glomerales; Glomeraceae. The record is from RNAcentral.